UACGAAGGGGGCUAGCGUUGCUCGGAAUUACUGGGCGUAAAGGGUUCGUAGGUGGCCAAUUAAGUCAGACGUGAAAUCCCUCAGCUUAACUGGGGAACUGCGUCUGAUACUGGUUGGCUUGAGUGCAGGAGAGGAAUGCGGAAUUCCAGGUGUAGCGGUGAAAUGCGUAGAUAUCGGAAGGAACACCAGUGGCGAAAGCGGCUUCCUGGUCCAGCACCGACGGUCAGGCACGAAAGCGUGGGGAGCAAACAGG
Molecule: ribosomal RNA, 253 nt
Filed under: uncultured bacterium
Lineage: Bacteria
Description: partial 16S ribosomal RNA
Rfam family: Bacterial small subunit ribosomal RNA
Source: RNAcentral